AAGCCCCGGCACUUCUGGGUGCUUAUCCGAAUUUGCAGUUCGAUUUGUACGGGACU
Molecule: transfer RNA, 56 nt
Filed under: Aspidoscelis tigris
Lineage: Eukaryota; Metazoa; Chordata; Lepidosauria; Squamata; Teiidae
Description: tRNA-Cys
Source: RNAcentral